Molecule: ribosomal RNA, 272 nt
Filed under: Nitrosospira multiformis
Lineage: Bacteria; Pseudomonadati; Pseudomonadota; Betaproteobacteria; Nitrosomonadales; Nitrosomonadaceae
Description: partial 16S ribosomal RNA
Rfam family: Bacterial small subunit ribosomal RNA
Source: RNAcentral
GGUAAAGGCUUACCAAGGCGUAGAUCAGAAGAUGGUCUGAGAGGACGACCAGCCACACUGGGACUGAGACACGGCCCAGACUCCUACGGGAGGCAGCAGUGGGGAAUUUUGGACAAUGGGGGAAACCCUGAUCCAGCCAUGCCGCGUGAGUGAAGAAGGCCUUCGGGUUUUAAAGCUCUUUCACCCGGAACGAAACGGUCACGGCUUAUACCUGUGACCCCCCCCGUACCGGAAGAAGAAGCACCGGCUAACUACUGCCAGCAGCCUCUGUA